UAGAUGCGAGAGUAGAGCAUAUCAAUAAGCGGAGGAAAAGAAACUAACGAAGGAUUCCCUUAGUAACGGCGAGUGAAGCGGGAAGAGCUCAAAUUUGAAAUCUUCAAGGUUCUACCUUGACGAAUUGUAGUUUAAAGAAGUGUUUUCUGUUAGAUGAGUAGCAAAAGUUCCUUGGAAUGGGACAUCAUAGAGGGUGAGAAUCCCGUAUUUGGUUAUCCAUUCUAGCUUUGUGAUACACUUUCAAAGAGUCGGAUUGUUUGGGAAUGCAGUCCAAAAUGGGUGGUAAAUUUCAUCUAAAGCUAAAUAUUGGCGAGAGACCGAUAGCGAACAAGUUACCGUGAGGGAAAGAUGAAAAGAACUUUGAAAAGAGAGUUAAACAGUACGUGAAAUUGUCAAAAGGGAAGCGUUUGACACCAGUGUUGUUUUUCCGAAAAUCAAUUACGAAUGGCUUGAUUUUGUGUUGUAUUGACCUUAUCAGCUUUCUGCACUUUUUUUCGAGUCUUUCUUAAUGCACUUUUCGGUUAACAAGUCAACAUCAAUUUCUUUUGUUGUAAAAGAGUAUUCGGAAGGUGGCUUUCUUUUCGGAGAAAGUGUUUAUAGCCCUAUACUUCUACAAUCGGAGAGAUUGAGGUCUGCAGCGUAGAUCCUUCGGGGUUAGAUACACUUGUGCUAAGUUGUAGCUUUUCAUAGACAACUUGUUGACUAUGUUUAGUCAUGCGGCUUACUCGCUUAUGCUAUUUUACCUACGCUUAGGAUGUUGAGCGCAUGUCUCUCUCU
RNAcentral lists this ribosomal RNA (777 nucleotides) under uncultured Neocallimastigales. RNAcentral's name for it is "partial large subunit ribosomal RNA". It matches the Rfam family "Eukaryotic large subunit ribosomal RNA", at positions 22 to 616 of the family's 3401-position model. Lineage: Eukaryota; Fungi; Neocallimastigomycota; Neocallimastigomycetes; Neocallimastigales. The record is from RNAcentral.